This is a long non-coding RNA of Apodemus sylvaticus (European woodmouse), 4222 nucleotides long. RefSeq lists it as uncharacterized. The record is from RefSeq and is a predicted model, not a curated record. Lineage: Eukaryota; Metazoa; Chordata; Mammalia; Rodentia; Muridae. The transcript has 5 exons.
CGCCUGCCUCUGCCUCCCAGAGUGCUGGGAUUACAGGCGUGCGCCACCGCCCGGCUUGGCUCUUUCUUGGAUAUAAAUAGAUGCCAUGCACACGCCCCUCGUGGCUCCUCUACGCAAUGAGUGCAUUUCUGCUUCUACCUGCCACGUUCUCUAAAACUAGCACACAGUGCUUUUGGAGUUUUGCUACAUAAGCCAGGAAACUUAAGAGUGUGUGCAUGAAUGAGCACACACACACACACACACACACACACACUGAGGUCCCACAUCCAGGCCCUACUCAAAGUCUGAAACAGCUGACAGGAACCCCCUGAAUGAACUAUGAAAUCUCAGAGAUGAACCCUCAGUUGGGAGAAGUUAGAGGGAUCCAGGGAGACCCCAGACCAGGCAGGGAGACCCCAGGACUGGCAGGGAGACCCCAGGACUGGCAGGGAGACCACAGACGAGGCAGGGAGACCCCAGGACUGGCAGGGUGACCCCAAGACUGGCAGGGAGACCACAGACCAGGCAGGGAGACCCCAGGACUGGCAGUGUCUUAGUCAGGGUUUCUAUUGCUGUGAUCAAACACCAUAACCAAGAAUCAAGCUGGGGAGGAAAGGGUUUAUUCAACUUAUUCCACACUGCUGUUCAUCACCAAAGGAAGUCAAGCAGGGCAGGAACCUGGAGGCAGGAGCUGAUGCAGAGGCUAUGAAGGGGUGCUGCUUACUGGUUUGCUCCCCAUGGCUUGCUCAGCCAGCCUUCUUAUAAAACCCACCUUGGGCUGGGCCCUCCCUGCUUGAUCACUAAUUGAGAAAAUGCCUUACAGCUGGGUCUCAUGGAGGCACUUCCUCAACGGAGGCUCCUUCUUCUCUGGUGACUCUAACUUGUAUCACAACAAACCAGGCAGUACAAACAGGGCGAAGCCAGGCCAUGUGCCUCAAGGAGGGUGCUCCUCAGUUUGUGGUCACAGUUUCCACAGAUCGUUUCCUGCCGUGCUCUGUGCUCCCUGCGCAGAAUUUGUGUUCAGGUGCUUGGGACCUUUUCCUUUCUGUGUCUGCAUUUCCCCCAACUGUCCCUACACUUAAAAGAUUUCUAAUUCCCUGCUUCUAGAAAGGAGACAUCACUCUGUUUGUACAACACAGGAGUAGCCACAGCAGGUGUGUGUGUGUGGGAGGGUGGAUUAUCAAUAUCAAUAUGGCGCUGCUGGAGAGCAACAGUCGGAACCAGCCAUUUUAAUUUCCGUUGACAAAACAAGAAAAUGUUAGUUUCUAUUAGGUCCCUGAAUCUACAGGAGAAAAGUCCUUGUAAAUCAGUGUCCUUAUUUUCGUUCACACCUCAGGUCACAUCUGUGCACAUCUGUGCACACAGCUACUGUGUGACUUUGUGUCACUCUAGGAGUAAGUGUGUAUCUAGCUUUCAAAGAACACGGUAACACUUAAUACACUCAUACACAAAACCUAAAUGUAAUGGACGGGGGAGGGGUAAAAUCUAAAUGUAGAAACAGAAGGCUACCAGGAAAGGGAAAUAUUGUUUCCCACUUAAAAGAUGUGUCAAUAUACCUGGGUAUGGUGACACAUACCUGUAAUACCAGCACUUGGGAAACUGUGGCAGGAGGACCACAAGUUCAUGGCCACCUAGGGCUACAAGGCAAAAAGACCCUAGCUCAAAAAAGGAAACAAAACAAAACAAAAAUGAAAACAAAAACAAAACAGUGUUUACUAAGUUCAACAUAGGGAGCUGGAGAAAUGGCUCAGGGGUUAACAGCACCUGCAGGAAAACUCUGGUACAGCACCCUGGUUCAAUUCUCAGCACCCACAUGCUGGCUUACAACCACCCAUAACUCCAGUUCCAGGGGAUCUGACAUGUUUUCCUGAACCCGUAGGGCAUUAAGCACAUACAAGGUAUACAUACAUACAUGCGGGCAAAACAUACACAUAAAAAAGCAAAUGUUAAAAAAAAAGACUAAGAGGCCAAAAACCAAGCUGGAGAGAUGGCUCAGUGGUUAAGAGCACUGGCUGCUCUUCCAGAGGACCCAGGUUCAAUUCCCAGCACUCAUGUGACAGUUCACAGCUGUCUGUAACUCCAGUUCUAGGGACUCUGUUGCCCUCACACAGACAUACAUUCAGUCAAAACACCAAUGAACAGAAAGUAAAAAAUAAAUUAAUUUUAAAAAAGAGGCCAAAAAUGGAAUAAGGCUAGAAUUUACUGUCCAGUGAAGGCAACACCUCUCUAAAAAAUCAAGGGAUCCUCAUGUGCGUGUGUAAACACCAGGGAGGUCCCACGCACUUUUUAAAUUUCCAUUUUCCUGAUAUUUAAUUUUCUCCUUUCUAGGAGCACAGAAAUUCAUUUUAUAAAGCAAAUCUGUUGAUAGGACUUAAAUAAGCCUUGGGAAUCACUUUCUUACUAACACUCCUUACAGUGUUAACACCUCUUCUGUAGGAGUCUUGCCUGUGGGUGUAUCCCACCAGAAACACCAUUUGUUAGUUUCCGGAAGCUGCAAUUUUCAUCAUGCCUUUGCCCUCAUUGUGAAUGGGGCGGGGCAUCAGAGUUGACCUACAGAUGGUGCCCCUGGGACAUCCGAGGUGACCUACAGAUGGUGCCCCGUGGGACAUCCGAGGUGACCUACAGAUGGUGCCCCGUGGGACAUCCGAGGUGACCUACAGAUGGUGCCCGUGGGACAUCCGAGGUGACCUACAGAUGGUGCCCGUGGGACAUCCGAGGUGACCUACAGAUGGUGCCCGUGGGACAUCCGAGGUGACCUACAGAUGGUGCCCGUGGGACAUCCGAGGUGACCUACAGAUGGUGCCCGUGGGACAUCCGAGGUGACCUACAGAUGGUGCCCGUGGGACAUCCGAGGUGACCUACAGAUGGUGCCCGUGGGACAUCCGAGGUGACCUACAGAUGGUGCCCGUGGGACAUCCGAGGUGACCUACAGAUGGUGCCCGUGGGACAUCCGAGGUGACCUACAGAUGGUGCCCGUGGGACAUCCGAGGUGACCUACUGGUGGUGCCCCGUGGGACAUCCGAGGUGACCUACUGGUGGUGCCCCAGCAGCUGGGCCAAGGCCAUAGCUGUUGUGUGAUCCAUUCAUAACUGUGUCCUUCACUUGUGGAACAUGGUGGCUCCCCAAGGACUGGCCAGGGAGAGGGACAGAUGGGACUUCUUCACGGGUGAGAGGUGGGUUUCAAGUUCCUUACUUCUAAGUCUGGAGGCUGCAGAAUCCAGAGUGGUUUCAUAAUAUCUUUCUGAAUCUUAGAUGUCUGACAUGUUGUCUGGCUGGAAGUAAGAGAAUAUUCCUACUCAGCUCUCAAAGUUAUCCUGAUCCUCCAGGCCUCGCAGACCCCACCUCACCGUUCCCUUAAUCUCCUACCCUCUGUCCCCCACUUCCUGGACAUUCUCACGAAUAUUAAGCAACUGUUAGAAAUUGGGACAACAACCUGGGGUGGGCCAGUCAUAGCUCAGUGUAGUCCCUCUGUCUCUUCCUACUAUGUGGACAGAUGUGUGUGAUAUCAGCAUUCUUAUUCAUGUCUGCACAUGUGGAGGUCAGAGGUCAACACGAGGUAGCUGUCAUUCUCUACCCAUGCUCUCCCCCCCAACCCCUUUUCCCCGAGACAGGGUUUGUCAUCAGGUCUAGAUCAUGCCAUGUCAGCUAGACUGGCUUGUGAGCGAGCUCUGAGACCCUCCACGUCUGUCCCCAUUCCUAGGGUACAGAGCAGGCUGCCCUAGAUUUUAUACGGGUGUUAGGGAUCUGAACUCGGGUCUUUUGAGCUUGUUAGGCAAGCACUUUCCAACUGAGCCAGUUCACCAGCUCCAACAGAUACUAUUUCUAUUUUAAUCACGUUGAGUCAGCCUCCAGCCUUUUCCCCCCCUUCCAGGACACCUUCGUGGUGGGUGGGGCAUGGGGUAUACUUUAUGUCUUUGAAACAGGAUCUCUCACUAAACCUAGAGCUUGUUAAUUAGGUUAGACCAGCCGGCCAUCAAGACCCAAGUUUCUUCCUGUUUCUUCCUCACUAGUGUAGGGAUGAUAGAAGUGGUCCUUAACCUGUGGGUUAUAACCUCUUUGGGGACCGAUCAGUCCUUUCCCAGGGGUCGCCUAAGACCAUCUACAUAUCAGAUACUUACAUUACAAUUCGUAACAUGUCAUCACUACACUAAAAAUAAAACGAGCCAUGAUUCUUUAAAAAACAACCAAGUCCCCCGAUGGAGCUGUGGGAUUUGUCUCCUCCUAGUCUGAAGUAUCGUCCACA